This 1691-nucleotide ribosomal RNA is filed under the name Acrochaetiales sp. 1Aus. RNAcentral's name for it is "bacterial LSU rRNA". It matches the Rfam family "Bacterial large subunit ribosomal RNA", at positions 751 to 2465 of the family's 2925-position model. Lineage: Eukaryota; Rhodophyta; Florideophyceae; Acrochaetiales. The record is from RNAcentral.
CUUAGGUAACACUAAGUGGAGGUCCGAACCGACUGAUGUUGAAAAAUCAGCGGAUGAGCUGUGAUUAGGGGUGAAAUGCCAAUCGAAUCCGGAGCUAGCUGGUUCUCCCCGAAAUGCGUUUUGGCGCAGCGAUUAAUAUUAUAACUUAGGGGUAAAGCACUGUUUCGGUGCGGGCUGUGAAAACGGUACCAAAUCAAGGCAAACUCUGAAUACUAAGUGUACAGUUAAUCAGUGAGACAGUGGGGGAUAAGCUUCAUUGUCGAAAGGGAAACAGCCCAGAUCACCAGCUAAGGCCCCUCAAUAUUUACUAAGUGGCAAAGGAAGUGGGAAUGCAUAGACAACCAGGAGGUUUGCUUAGAAGCAGCAAUCCUUUAAAGAAUGCGUAAUAGCUCACUGGUCAAGUGAUCCUGCGCCGAAAAUGAACGGGACUAAGUAUUUUGCCGAAGCUGUGAGAUGUUUUAACAUCGGUAGGGGAGCGUUCUGUGUAAGAUUGAAGCAUUAGCGUAAGCGGAUGUUGACAAAGCAGAAGUGAGAAUGUCGGCUUGAGUAGCGAAAACAUUGGUGGGAAUCCAAUGCCCCGAAAACCUAAGGAUUCCUCUGGAAGGUUCGUCCACGGAGGGUAAGUCAGGGCCUAAGGCGAGGCUGAAGAGCGUAGUCGAUGGAUAACAGGUUAAUAUUCCUGUACUAUUUAUAGUUGAUAACGAGGGACGGAGAAAGCUAAGUUAGCCGGAUGUUGGUUAUCGGUUUAAACUUUCAAUACGAUGAAGAAUGGCGAAAACAUUCUGAGUAAAGAAGUGAGUACAAAGUACUAAGGUGCUAAAGUAACUAAUGUUAUACUUCCUAGAAAAGCUCGAUCUAUCUUAAACUAUAAAUACCUGUACCCGAAACCGACACAGGUAGGUAGGUAGAGUAUACCAAGGGGCGCGAGAUAACUCUCUCUAAGGAACUCGGCAAAAUAACCCCGUAACUUCGGAAGAAGGGGUGCCCUUUGAAUAGGGUUGCAAUAACCAGGCCCAAGCGACUGUUUAUCAAAAACACAGGUCUCCGCUAAGUCGUAAGACAAUGUAUGGGGGCUGACGCCUGCCCAGUGCCGGAAGGUUAAAGAAGUUGGUUAACAUUAUUGUAAAGCUAACAACUGAAGCCCCGGUGAACGGCGGCCGUAACAAUAACGGUCCUAAGGUAGCGAAAUUCCUUGUCGGGUAAGUUCCGACCCGCACGAAAGGCGUAACGAUUUGGGCACUGUCUCAGAGAGAGACUCGGCGAAAUAGACUUGUCUGUGAAGAUGCGGACUACCUGCACCUGGACAGAAAGACCCUAUGAAGCUUUACUGUAACUUGGAAUUGGGUUUGGGUUUUUCUUGCGCAGCAUAGGUGGGAGGCUGAGAAAAUAAAUUUGUGGAUUUAUUAGAGCCGUUAGUGAGAUACCACUCUGGAAAAACUAGAAUUCUAACCUUGAAAGCCGUUAACCGGCCAAGGAACAGUUUCAGGCGGGCAGUUUGACUGGGGCGGUCGCCUCCUAAAAGGUAACGGAGGCGUACAAAGGUUUCCUCAGGCUGGUUGGAAAUCAGUCGUAGAGUGUAAAGGUAUAAGGAAGCUUGACUGUAAGACUUACAAGUCGAGCAGAGACGAAAGUCGGUCUUAGUGAUCCGACAGUGCCGAGUGGAAGGGCUGUCGCUCAACGGAUAAAAGUUA